AACGAACGCUGGCGGCAUGCCUAACACAUGCAAGUCGAACGAGACCUUCGGGUCUAGUGGCGCACGGGUGCGUAACGCGUGGGAACCUGCCCUUAGGUUCGGAAUAACUCCCCGAAAGGGGUGCUAAUACCGGAUAAUGUCUUCGGACCAAAGAUUUAUCGCCUUUGGAGGGGCCCGCGUUGUAUUAGCUAUUUGGUAGGGUAAAAGCCUACCAAGGCGACGAUCCAUAGCUGGUCUGAGAGGAUGAUCAGCCACACUGGGACUGAGACACGGCCCAGACUCCUAAGGGAGGCAGCAGUAGGGAAUAUUGGACAAUGGGCGAAAGAAUGAUCCAGCAAUGCCGCGUGAGUGAUGAAGGCCUUAGGGUUGUAAAGCUCUUUUAACCGGGAUGAUAAUGACAGAACCGGGAGAAUAAACUCCGGCUAACUCCGU
RNAcentral lists this ribosomal RNA (432 nucleotides) under uncultured bacterium. RNAcentral describes it as "partial 16S ribosomal RNA". It matches the Rfam family "Bacterial small subunit ribosomal RNA", at positions 29 to 506 of the family's 1533-position model. The record is from RNAcentral.